Molecule: ribosomal RNA, 164 nt
Filed under: Gentiana dahurica
Lineage: Eukaryota; Viridiplantae; Streptophyta; Magnoliopsida; Gentianales; Gentianaceae
Description: 5.8S ribosomal RNA
Rfam family: 5.8S ribosomal RNA
About the family: 5.8S ribosomal RNA (5.8S rRNA) is a component of the large subunit of the eukaryotic ribosome. It is transcribed by RNA polymerase I as part of the 45S precursor that also contains 18S and 28S rRNA.
Source: RNAcentral
AAAACAACUCUCGGCAACGGAUAUCUCGGCUCUCGCAUCGAUGAAGAACGUAGCGAACUGCGAUACUUGGUGUGAAUUGCAGAAUCCCGUGAACCAUCGAGUCUUUGAACGCAAGUUGCGCCCGAAGCCAUUAGGCCGAGGGCACGUCUGCCUGGGCAUCACGC